Molecule: ribosomal RNA, 355 nt
Filed under: uncultured eubacterium HRS-18
Lineage: Bacteria; Pseudomonadati; Acidobacteriota
Description: bacterial SSU rRNA
Rfam family: Bacterial small subunit ribosomal RNA
Source: RNAcentral
CGGGUGAGUAACACGUGACUAACCUACCUUCGAGUGGGGGAUAACCUCGGGAAACCGGGGCUAAUACCGCAUAAUGCCUUCGGGUUAAAGGAGCAAUUCGCUUGAAGAGGGGGUCGCGGCUGAUUAGCUAGUUGGCGGGGUAACGGCCCACCAAGGCGAUGAUCGGUAGCCGGCCUGAGAGGGCGCACGGCCACACUGGAACUGAAACACGGUCCAGACUCCUACGGGAGGCAGCAGUGGGGAAUUUUGCGCAAUGGGGGAAACCCUGACGCAGCAACGCCGCGUGGAGGAUGAAGUCCCUUGGGACGUAAACUCCAUUCGACCGGGACGAUAAUGACGGUACCUGGUGGAAGAA